RNAcentral lists this ribosomal RNA (228 nucleotides) under uncultured bacterium. RNAcentral describes it as "partial 16S ribosomal RNA". It matches the Rfam family "Bacterial small subunit ribosomal RNA", at positions 1264 to 1500 of the family's 1533-position model. The record is from RNAcentral.
AGUGCGAAUCUCGAAAGCCUGUCUCAGUUCGGAUUGGAGGCUGAAACCCGCCUCCAUGAAGCUGGAUUCGCUAGUAAUCGCGCAUCAGCCAUGGCGCGGUGAAUACGUUCCCGGGCCUUGUACACACCGCCCGUCAAGCCAUGGAAGCUGGGGGUGCCUGAAGUUCGUGACCGGAAGGAGCGACCUAGGGCAAAACCGGUGACUGGGGCUAAGUCGUAACAAGGUACC